Molecule: ribosomal RNA, 253 nt
Filed under: uncultured bacterium
Lineage: Bacteria
Description: partial 16S ribosomal RNA
Rfam family: Bacterial small subunit ribosomal RNA
Source: RNAcentral
UACGUAGGGUGCGAGCGUUAAUCGGAAUUACUGGGCGUAAAGCGUGCGCAGGCGGUUCUGAAAGUCAGCUGUGAAAGCCCCGGGCUUAACCUGGGAACUGCGGUUGAAACUACAGGACUAGAAUCUGGCAGAGGGGGGUGGAAUUCCACGUGUAGCAGUGAAAUGCGUAGAUAUGUGGAGGAACACCGAUGGCGAAGGCAGCCCCCUGGGUCGACACUGACGCUCAUGCACAAAAGCGUGGGGAGCAAACAGG